RNAcentral lists this ribosomal RNA (448 nucleotides) under uncultured bacterium. Its description in RNAcentral is "bacterial SSU rRNA". It matches the Rfam family "Bacterial small subunit ribosomal RNA", at positions 29 to 524 of the family's 1533-position model. The record is from RNAcentral.
AACGAACGCUGGCGGCAGGCCUAACACAUGCAAGUCGAACGCCGUAGCAAUACGGAGUGGCAGACGGGUGAGUAACGCGUGGGAACCUUCCCUAUGGUUCGGAAUAGCUCAGGGAAACCUGGGGUAAUACCGGAUAAGCCCUUCGGGGAAGGAUUAUCGCCAUUGGAUGGGCCCGCGUAGGAUUAGCUAGUUGGUGAGGUAACGGCUCACCAAGGCGACGAUCCUUAGCUGGUCUGAGAGGANGAUCAGCCACACUGGGACUGAGACACGGCCCAGACUCCUACGGGAGGCAGCAGUGGGGAAUAUUGGACAAUGGGCGGAAAGCCUGAUCCAGCCAUGCCGCGUGAGUGACGAAGGCCUUAGGGUUGUAAAGCUCUUUUGGCGGGAAGAUAAUGACGGUACCCGCAGAAUAAGCUCCGGCUAACUUCGUGCCAGCAGCCGCAGUAAU